UUUUCCUACCGGCGAAAAACAUGAAAAAAAAGCCAUUGAAAUAGGAAAUAGGAAGAGUAGCUAAUACACACUCUUUGACUAUGCGCAUAGCUUUAACCAAAGAACGUAUAUGAUUCAUAUACGUUCUUUGCUUUAACUUUUUAGAAUUAGUUUUAACAGAUAUGGCAGCACAUUGAGGAAUGAAAGCACAAAAACGAAAAUCAACAAUUUGACGUUUUUCUUUGGGUGAGAUAAAAAAGAGAAAACCAAGACGAAAACAAAUAAAACGAAUAUCAUAUGUCUCGUAGAUAAAGAAAAAAUAACUAAUUAAUGUAACCAGAGAGGGGUGGCGUGUCCAAUUAACAGCCCCAUCCCAUAUACAUACACACAUAUUAUUGGGGAGUAACUACGUAAUACACCUCACUAUUCGUUAUCAGAAUUUUCGAUGAAGUUUUGGAGAAAUGAGAUUUUCAGUUCCGUGUAAAAGAGCACACGAUCAAAUCUUCCUGUGUUUACACUUAAUCACGUAAACAAAAAAUUUUAAGGAAUUCGUAAAUAAGUGCAGCACAGAAAUUAUCUAGAAUUAUUAACACCUUUAAAAAAUGAAACAAAUGUAAAAUUAAUUCAGCAAUUCGUUGUAUUUACAAGGCAUAUACCAUCAAAAUUUACAUGUCAAUAAGAAUUCUACGAGUAUAUAUUCCUACAUACAUAAAUACAUACGUAAGCGUGCAGGUGAUGGCUGUUUAGUUUAUGAUUAUUUAAUUAAACAAAAAUUUUAAUUGUCCAAACAAAACAAAAAAAA
Ceratitis capitata (Mediterranean fruit fly) is the source of this 781-nucleotide long non-coding RNA. RefSeq lists it as uncharacterized. The transcript is spliced from 3 exons. The record is from RefSeq and is a predicted model, not a curated record. NCBI's taxonomy places the organism in Eukaryota, Metazoa, Arthropoda, Insecta, Diptera, Tephritidae.